UCUUUGCUUCAGAGUGGCCAUGAGUGUGUCAACCUGAGAAUCCUCUGUCUCCUGAAUGCAGAGGCAAGAUCUACUGGCAGUGCACAGCAGAGUUUGGAACCGGGAGUCGUGGCUUCUGUGGAGGGCUGGGGAAACUCCUUGCAGCAUACGCAGUCCGGGAGCUCAUGAAGUUCAGAGUGUGUGCAUGGCACGGAUUUGGCUGCUGUGACUGCCGACGGGGCCACUGCAGCCAAAGCACUUUGCGGACACUGCGACGUGAGGGAACUACCUUUGCGUUGCCUAUGAUUGGAUACUGAUUCCUGAUCAGCAAGAAGCCUACACAGUAUCUCCAGUGCAGAAGAUGUCUGUUAGACAAGACCCCACGUACACCCUCCAGAUGCCACAUUUGGCCCCUCUGCCACUUAGAACUAAAGCUCGGGGCACCAGUCUUUGACUUUCAGAUGUGUAGCCAACAGCCAUGACCCAGGAGGGGCCCACGAGAGCAUGGAGAGAGGAAUUCCACCAGUGUCACAGACGGUUGGUUCCUGGCAGCAGAGGACGAUGUUUUGAAGCUUCUUUGCACCCUGUGAGUCCAGCAUUGCGCCUGGUGCUUUAUAAAGAUGUUAAAGGAAUAAAUGAGUCAAGGAGGAGAUGAAUAAAGAUUCUUGCAUCGUGAAGAACUUGAACGCCCAAAACAAAUACUCUUUCCUCUAACCGACUUUUCUGCUGAAGAAUGUUCUCCUGAGAUGUAAGACGACUGGGUAGAGAGGCCCUGCAGUCACCUCCACCACAGAGAAGAACCGGGACAGUAAAGAAAGGACUGCAUUCUGGGAGACGGACGGAGGGAAGAUUUCAGUAAAGAAGUGACGAGAACUCUGACAGCACAGAGACUUUGAAAGCCUGAGAGAGGAGCAAGAUGCCUCACAGCCAUCCUGCUGGAAAAGGUAAACAGAGACCCCCAGGACCCCCACCCCCACUGCAGAUCUGCAGCCCUAAAGGCAGGAGAAUGUCUUUAAAUUCAGUCUAGGAAGCUGGCUGGUGCCCGAGCAACUGCUUUGCUCUGAGAGAGGAACUCAUAUUGUGUCCAUCUCUUCCCAGAGCCCCGGGUUUGUGCUACUGUGAUGCAGCUGCUGUUAAACUCCAUUCUAUCUGAGGUGACAGCAAGCAACCUGUCACUCCCAGUAGCCUCUCGGAGCCAGAGCCAGAGCCAGGGUGAUUCACAAGGCAGAAAGCUGGCCCCUCUGCCUCUUACAGCUGUGGUACUGCUGGGCACAGGGCCCAGAGCCAUGCUUGCUCACCUACCCUGUGCAACCCAGGGAAGACCCUUCUGCUUCCUGGGACUCAGUGUCAGAAGCAAUUGAUUCCCAGGCCUGGAGGACUAGACUUGAGGAAUCUUCUGCAUUUCUUGGCUCAGGGUGGUGGGUGGCCAGGGUACAAGCCCCAGAAUCACACUUACAUGCCUCUGCUCCAUGCCUCUACCUGCUAGUGCAUAAUCCCAUACGUUAGAGUUGAACAAUACUAUAGAGCAAAUGGACCUAUCAGACAUUUACAGAACAUUUUAUCCAACAGUUACAGAAAAUACAUUUUUCUCAUCAGCACUUGGAACAUUUUCUAGCAUAAACCAUAUAUGAGGUCACAAAUCAAGUAUAGGUAAAUUUAAAAAAUUGAUAUCAGACUAAGUAUCUUAGAACACAAAGGAAUAAAAGUAAAAAUCAACAAGAAGAAUACAAAAUUUACAAAUACAUGA
Long non-coding RNA from Oryctolagus cuniculus (rabbit), 1726 nucleotides. RefSeq lists it as uncharacterized. Lineage: Eukaryota; Metazoa; Chordata; Mammalia; Lagomorpha; Leporidae. The record is from RefSeq and is a predicted model, not a curated record.